AUGGUGAGGAGGAGAGGGAGGAUUGGAGGAAAAGAAAGGAAAAUGGGAAGAAGGAGAACUCACAUAAGGAAAAAAAAGGAGGAGAAUGAGAAAGAAGAGCAGGGGCAAAAAGAAAUUGAGAAAGAGAAAGAAGAGGAACAAAAGGAGAUAAAUGAGCAGAGGGGAAGGAAGGAGAAUGGUAAAGAGGAGUAUGAUUCGAUGGAAAGGGAUGAGAAGGACCAGAAUGGCAAUAAAAAUUGCCCCCACUUCUUUAGAGCGAUCAUAUCCUAUUCAUUUAUGGAACAUGUGACCAUUCCAGUAGGAUUCCACAAAAACUUGGAAGAUUGUACAUCAUUGGUUUCCCUGAGAGGUCCAAGCGGGAAUAAAUGGCCUGUAGAGCUGGCUAAAAUCUCCGGGGAGCUAUGCUUUGCACGUGGAUGGAAGGAGUUCCUCUCCGACCAUCGCGUCGGGUAUGGCUACCUGCUGGUAUUCCGUUACGACGGGCAGUCACAGUUCUCAGUGACAAUUUUCUUGCCAUCGUCCUGCGAGGCUCCGUACGCGUCUCUCGCCCAGCCGCAACACAAGGACAUCAACGUGGCCAGUGAUGAAGACAAAGGGCUCACGAGCACCAAUGCAGAUGGUACUGCCCCGCAAGAAGAAGACACUCACACUGACACCGGUAUAGAUGGUACACUACAAAAUGAAUCUUCAGAAGAAGAAGAAAAUUCUUUAGAAGAUGAAGAUGCACAUGAUGUUGAAGACACAUUAUCAGAAACUCUAGGGAAUGAUGAAGACUGUGAACGUCGCAUGUGGAGCAACGAUGCUCUAGAACCAGCGCAACAACAACAGGAUGAUCGAUGCAAGACCGGCGAUGGUUUUAUGGUUAGGAAGAGGGCUAGGUUUAGGAAGGUUGAUGAUAUCAUGGCACAAGUGGACCAAUCCAAGAAGUCCAGGACUGCGGAGUGGAAAAACUCUACAGCUCCAUCUGGUGAACCAACUUCUGGGGGAGCAGCGUCAAGCGACAGUUUGGCAGAAUCUGAGCAUCAUCCACCCAUUAUGUCCAAGGCUGAGGAGAUAAGGUCUCCAUCUGGUGGUUCUGCUUCUAUGUCAGCAGUAUCAAGUGACAAUUUGGCAGAGUUGGCUAGUCGUCCAUCAAAGGACUCCAAGGAUGAGGGAAAAAGCUCUGCUACUCCUUUAAUUGUUUAUACCAGGUCUGCUGCUUCAGCAUCUAAAAGAGUUCCUCUCAAAAAAGCUUUGGAAGAAACAACAUCUAGUGACAAUUUGGCAGUUCAUACAGGUGUAUUUGCGCCAGAAUCCGUGUCCUCGAACAUAACCACGUGGAACAAAUCUUUUGAUAAAAGGCUUAGUAAGCAGAAUCAAUUCCCGAUGUUCAACAAGAGCAAUGGUGAAAACCAACCUGGCAGAAUUCUCAUCAAAGUUAUGAGAAGGCCAGGAUUAAUGUCACAGAGGCGUCUAGUAACUCAAAGGGAGAAGGAAUACGCCAUGGAGAGGGCACUGAGGUUCAAAUCCGACAGGCCCUUCUACAUCAAGGCAAUGAGGCACAACGAUGUCUAUGCCUUGUACUUCAUGAUCAUCCCGGACAAGUUCGUGAAAACAUUUCUCCCCAAAGAGAGCAGGAAGAUGACCUUGUGGGACCCACAGGCGAAGCCGUGGAAGGUGUGGUACGAGUACGCUAGUCCCCAUGCGGCAUUCAGCGCAGGGUGGGGCGCGCUGGCCAUGGAGAACAACCUGGAGAAGUGGGACGUGUGCAUCUUUGAGCUCCUGGACCAAGAAUACAACAUCAAGCUGCACGUCUACAAGGUCGUGCUGGAGAUCACCCCCUGCGUCAUCACACCAAAACCUCGCACAUGCGCGAGUGUUAAUUCGCCCCAAUACGUUUUGAUCUAG
RNAcentral lists this ribosomal RNA (1887 nucleotides) under Triticum aestivum (bread wheat). Its description in RNAcentral is "partial small subunit ribosomal RNA". The record is from RNAcentral. Lineage: Eukaryota; Viridiplantae; Streptophyta; Magnoliopsida; Poales; Poaceae.